Long non-coding RNA from Panicum virgatum (switchgrass), 868 nucleotides. RefSeq lists it as uncharacterized. The transcript is spliced from 4 exons. Lineage: Eukaryota; Viridiplantae; Streptophyta; Magnoliopsida; Poales; Poaceae. The record is from RefSeq and is a predicted model, not a curated record.
GGGGCGCCGGCAGAUGCGCGGGCAGGAGGAUCCCGUGGGCGUGGCUGGCCGCGGACGGGAGCAAUCGCUGGGGGAGGCCUUCUUCCUGUUCUAAAGGCCCUUCUGGCUCACUUUCUGCCUCGGUUUCAUCAUCCCAAUCAAGCUCUACAAGGCUAGAGCAGGAGUAGAGAUGGCACUGAUUGACGCAAUUCCUAACAGCAUUCGCAUCCCUGUGUGGAAAUUAUUUGGAGGGGCAUCAGAUACUGUGACUACAGACAUAACGAUUCCAAUCGUGGCCCCCAAAUGAAGCUGCACAAUUGGCCGAAAAAUAAUGAGUGCAAGGGUUUCAAACGCUGAAGCUCAAGUUUGGGAAAAACUUGAACUCGGAUAUACAAGUUUGGAAAAACAAAAUGGGUGUGACCCCUGUGCUCUUUGAGCAAACAGUUCACAAAGAUUAUAGGGAUGGUCUCCGUGAUAUUAGUAUUGUUGCCAUGGAGAAAUACAAUGUCACUAGCGCUGCUUAUAAAAGUUAUUAGCAUUUACAUGAUGCUCAGAAAAUAAUACGUGGGAAUCUCGCUCAUGAUAUUAACAUCAAGCUCACCAAAUUAGGGGUUAUUGGAGCCCUUGAAAUAAUUUAUGUUGCGUGAAAAGCCAAUAUUGCUUUGAUGAUUGGUGGUAUGGUUGAGACUAGAAUCGCCAUGGACUUUGUUGUUCCAGAUGCGUUUGUUGUGGAAGUAUGCAAACCUUUUUCUUACAUUGUCAUUAGGAUGCUCCAGCCCACAAAUUGAAAGAAAUACCACUUUGUUGGACACUUAUAUAUGUUUUCGGCUGCUAUAUUAUUCUUGAGAUUUAUGGAUGCAUUUUUAUUGGUCUGGUCACACCCCUUUUA